CUCGAUGAGUAGGGCGGGACACGUGGUAUCCUGUCUGAAUAUGGGGGGACCAUCCUCCAAGGCUAAAUACUCCUGACUGACCGAUAGUGAACCAGUACCGUGAGGGAAAGGCGAAAAGAACCCCGGCGAGGGGAGUGAAAAAGAACCUGAAACCGUGUACGUACAAGCAGUGGGAGCCUCUUAAUGGGGUGACUGCGUACCUUUUGUAUAAUGGGUCAGCGACUUAUAUUCUGUAGCAAGGUUAACCGAAUAGGGGAGCCGAAGGGAAACCGAGUCUUAACUGGGCGUUAAGUUGCAGGGUAUAGACCCGAAACCCGGUGAUCUAGCCAUGGGCAGGUUGAAGGUUGGGUAACACUAACUGGAGGACCGAACCGACUAAUGUUGAAAAAUUAGCGGAUGACUUGUGGCUGGGGGUGAAAGGCCAAUCAAACCGGGAGAUAGCUGGUUCUCCCCGAAAGCUAUUUAGGUAGCGCCUCGUGAAUUCAUCUCCGGGGGUAGAGCACUGUUUCGGCAAGGGGGUCAUCCCGACUUACCAACCCGAUGCAAACUGCGAAUACCGGAGAAUGUUAUCACGGGAGACACACGGCGGGUGCUAACGUCCGUCGUGAAGAGGGAAACAACCCAGACCGCCAGCUAAGGUCCCAAAGUCAUGGUUAAGUGGGAAACGAUGUGGGAAGGCCCAGACAGCCAGGAUGUUGGCUUAGAAGCAGCCAUCAUUUAAAGAAAGCGUAAUAGCUCACUGGUCGAGUCGGCCUGCGCGGAAGAUGUAACGGGGCUAAACCAUGCACCGAAGCUGCGGCAGCGACGCUUAUGCGUUGUUGGGUAGGGGAGCGUUCUGUAAGCCUGUGAAGGUGUGCUGUGAGGCAUGCUGGAGGUAUCAGAAGUGCGAAUGCUGACAUAAGUAACGAUAAAGCGGGUGAAAAGCCCGCUCGCCGGAAGACCAAGGGUUCCUGUCCAACGUUAAUCGGGGCAGGGUGAGUCGACCCCUAAGGCGAGGCCGAAAGGCGUAGUCGAUGGGAAACAGGUUAAUAUUCCUGUACUUGGUGUUACUGCGAAGGGGGGACGGAGAAGGCUAUGUUGGCCGGGCGACGGUUGUCCCGGUUUAAGCGUGUAGGCUGGUUUUCCAGGCAAAUCCGGAAAACCAAGGCUGAGGCGUGAUGACGAGGCACUACGGUGCUGAAGCGACAAAUGCCCUGCUUCCAGGAAAAGCCUCUAAGCAUCAGGUAACAUCAAAUCGUACCCCAAACCGACACAGGUGGUCAGGUAGAGAAUACCAAGGCGCUUGAGAGAACUCGGGUGAAGGAACUAGGCAAAAUGGUGCCGUAACUUCGGGAGAAGGCACGCUGAUAUGUAGGUGAAGCGACUUGCUCGUGGAGCUGAAAUCAGUCGAAGAUACCAGCUGGCUGCAACUGUUUAUUAAAAACACAGCACUGUGCAAACACGAAAGUGGACGUAUACGGUGUGACGCCUGCCCGGUGCCGGAAGGUUAAUUGAUGGGGUUAGCGGCAACGCGAAGCUCUUGAUCGAAGCCCCGGUAAACGGCGGCCGUAACUAUAACGGUCCUAAGGUAGCGAAAUUCCUUGUCGGGUAAGUUCCGACCUGCACGAAUGGCGUAAUGAUGGCCAGGCUGUCUCCACCCGAGACUCAGUGAAAUUGAACUCGCUGUGAAGAUGCAGUGUACCCGCGGCAAGACGGAAAGACCCCGUGAACCUUUACUAUAGCUUGACACUGAACAUUGAGCCUUGAUGUGUAGGAUAGGUGGGAGGCUUUGAAGUGUGGACGCCAGUCUGCAUGGAGCCGACCUUGAAAUACCACCCUUUAAUGUUUGAUGUUCUAACGUUGGCCCGUAAUCCGGGUUGCGGACAGUGUCUGGUGGGUAGUUUGACUGGGGCGGUCUCCUCCUAAAGAGUAACGGAGGAGCACGAAGGUUGGCUAAUCCUGGUCGGACAUCAGGAGGUUAGUGCAAUGGCAUAAGCCAGCUUGACUGCGAGCGUGACGGCGCGAGCAGGUGCGAAAGCAGGUCAUAGUGAUCCGGUGGUUCUGAAUGGAAGGGCCAUCGCUCAACGGAUAAAAGGUACUCCGGGGAUAACAGGCUGAUACCGCCCAAGAGUUCAUAUCGACGGCGGUGUUUGGCACCUCGAUGUCGGCUCAUCACAUCCUGGGGCUGAAGUAGGUCCCAAGGGUAUGGCUGUUCGCCAUUUAAAGUGGUACGCGAGCUGGGUUUAGAACGUCGUGAGACAGUUCGGUCCCUAUCUGCCGUGGGCGCUGGAGAACUGAGGGGGGCUGCUCCUAGUACGAGAGGACCGGAGUGGACGCAUCACUGGUGUUCGGGUUGUCAUGCCAAUGGCACUGCCCGGUAGCUAAAUGCGGAAGAGAUAAGUGCUGAAAGCAUCUAAGCACGAAACUUGCCCCGAGAUGAGUUCUCCCUGAGACUUAGAGUCUCCUGAAGGAACGUUGAAGACGACGACGUUGAUAGGCCGGGUGUGUAAGCGCAGCGAUGCGUUGAGCUAACCGGUACUAAUGAACCGUGAGGCUUAACCUU
Molecule: ribosomal RNA, 2542 nt
Filed under: Escherichia coli KTE215
Lineage: Bacteria; Pseudomonadati; Pseudomonadota; Gammaproteobacteria; Enterobacterales; Enterobacteriaceae
Description: bacterial LSU rRNA
Rfam family: Bacterial large subunit ribosomal RNA
Source: RNAcentral